AAGUACAUUUUUAAGUAGUGACGCCAUUGUAACGAUUUUUGGCUUACAUUUGGCUUACUGCUUAGGAAUGUUUUCAU
RNAcentral lists this microRNA precursor (77 nucleotides) under Haemonchus contortus (barber pole worm). Its description in RNAcentral is "microRNA hco-mir-5915 precursor". Lineage: Eukaryota; Metazoa; Nematoda; Chromadorea; Rhabditida; Trichostrongylidae. The record is from miRBase by way of RNAcentral.